Dermochelys coriacea (leatherback sea turtle) is the source of this 381-nucleotide long non-coding RNA. RefSeq lists it as uncharacterized. The record is from RefSeq and is a predicted model, not a curated record. NCBI's taxonomy places the organism in Eukaryota, Metazoa, Chordata, Testudines, Dermochelyidae. The transcript is spliced from 3 exons.
UGGCAGGGUAGCAGCCCAGCUAAGAUCAAAGUGGCUCUAGCGCACACCCCAGCUGCACAUUAAUGCACCAGUUGCCCCCACUCUGCAGCGCUGUGGCAGGCAAGCCGAAAGCUGUUUGGGGCGGAGAUUCAGCGGAACCUGGCAUUUUGGAAGUGUCAGGCCAGAGGUCCUUGACUGUUUCUCUAUUCUGACUGGGGUGAAAAGUGGCACGACCCUGGAGAGUCUUCAAGAGCCUGAGAGAGAUGGAGAGAUAUAUUGGGAUUGCCUUAUAUUGGGAUCUUUACGCUUCAUUAAAAGAUAAGGGAACAGGAGGCUGAAGACCUACUGCGGGCUUGUGCUGCCAGGAAGGAAAGCUUAGUGCAGAAGCGUGUUAUUCAGAAU